UUAACAGUUCGGCCAUAGUUACCACAAGUGCAAAUAUGUUGAAGUUGAAGGGCUACUUGGGUGCGAUCGAUGUCUUUCUAAAACUAAAACCCUAGCCGAUCCUUGAAAAGUCUCCAAAUCCCUCCCCCCUGUAUCAAUCAAGCUUCUUUCUGAAAGGUCCUCAUUAAUUUCUGCCGUGUUUUUGACUUUUCGAUUAGGCUCAAAAUUGGUUGAUUGAAUCCUCAUAUUUCUCCCUUUGUCUGACCUAAGGUGUUUGUGGAAGAAAGAAGCUUGAUUGAUUCUGUCUGUCUGUCUGUCAAUGGCACCACUUAUAAACAGGUUCCCUUUUGUAGCUAAUCAUUUAAAGAAAAUGAUAAACAAGCUCAAUGAAAGUGGUGAGAAACAUGUCAUAAAAUCAUGGUCUCGUGCGUCUAUGAUUAUUCCUGAAAUGGUGGGCCAUCGUAUUGCCAUCCAUAAUGGAAAGAAACAUCGCCCGAUUCAGAUUAAAGAUGCUAUGGUAGGGCACAAGUUGGGAGAAUUUGCACUUACACGAGCGCGUAAGCCACAAAAGCAGCAAAAUGUCAAGAAGCCUGGGAAGAAGAAGUGAUUAGCAGUGCCUAAGAAAGACAUGCUGCCAUCAAAUGUUUAUGCUUGAGCUUUAGUGAUGAUCCCUUACUCUGCACCAUUAUUGUUUUGUGACCCUUUCAGUAUCAGCAUGCCAAACAUAUUAGGAUUGAUAUUGUUGUGACUGGUUAUUUCACAACUCAACAGGAAAUGCAAAUACCUAUAAAUCUAUAGGUUUCUAUUAA
Molecule: long non-coding RNA, 788 nt
Organism: Helianthus annuus (common sunflower)
Lineage: Eukaryota; Viridiplantae; Streptophyta; Magnoliopsida; Asterales; Asteraceae
Exons: 2
Source: RefSeq, a predicted model, not a curated record